RNAcentral lists this unclassified non-coding RNA (8104 nucleotides) under Leishmania donovani. Its description in RNAcentral is "gene:LdHU3.33.4630(CDS-product:hypothetical_prote in_conserved)". Lineage: Eukaryota; Euglenozoa; Kinetoplastea; Trypanosomatida; Trypanosomatidae. The record is from RNAcentral.
UGAUUCAUCGACGUCUUUUUGCGCUCUCUUUCUCCUCUCUCGCUCUCUCGUGGCUCUCCGCACGGACGGGUUGAAGAAUCAAGCCUAGUUGGUCACUUGCGUCGCACAGCCCCCACCCGCACACCAUCUUCCUCCCUUCUCUGUUAAGCACUCGUACACACAAGCAGUGCGCGUGUCGCUUCAUAGUCGUGUGUUCUCUCUCUUUCUUUGGUUGUCGCUGCACUCCGUGUUUUGUUUCCUUUAUUUUUUUCCUUUGCCGAUCAGCGGUUCCCUCCCCUCGCAGCGUGCCGCUGUUGUGCGUGAGAGUUGUGUCUCCGUACUUGCGUGUGGGUCUUCGCCUCGGCGUCGGCGUUGGCGCCUUCGUCGCAUCGCGCGUGUUCGCAUUCUUCUUUGCUUGGCCACCCCUUCCAUCGCCGGUGCAUUUCUGCGUGCAAAUCCCAGUUGCCGUCGCUGUGCCGCCGCCGGUUGUUGAUCUGCUUAUGUCAGCGGUGCCUCCAGGAGCGGUUGCCCCACUAUACCGUACUCCGUCCCCUCUUCUAGCCCCUGCACAAGACAGGGAAGAGAGUCUCAGGCACGCAGUUCAACAGUAACACUCACGGAUACCACAUGUAUCAACAGCAGCAGGCUGCGGCGUACAGUGGCGAUGGCGCAACAAAGCUGAGCGGGCCGGGCGUGGGUGCUGGCUGGGGUGCCGGUCCUAUAAACAGCAGUUUUGGCGCUGGCGCCUACUGCAGAGGCUACGGCGCUGGCGGUUACGGUGGCGCCGCCGCGUUUGACGGUGAGAGAAUGCACGACGCCGGACAUAACAGCAUGUACGGCACAUGCAGCAUGUACGCACAGCCCGAUGCAAGGGAUGUGAUGGGCGACACAAAUGAGGAGAUCAUUGUCACAAAGAUUUUUUCCAGUCGGCGAGAUCUCGAUCGCCUCGCUUCUGCGCAGGAUUUUUCACGUCGGUUCGACUCGAACUGGGGAAGCUACCGCUUCGCCGGCGCAGACGGCUUUGGCGGCUCCCUGUACGGCGCGAACAGCGCGGCUGGUGGUUCCCUCAUGAACCUCAGUGGCAAGCCCGGUGCGUCAUCCAUCACAGACCGCGGAACAGGGGCCGCUGGCAUGGGUCCAGAUGGCAACGACGGCCGCAGCGCGCACGAGAAGAUGCCGGCAUCGGGGGAGAAGGUAGCAGCGACUAAGGAGGCUGCGUACGAGCGCGUCGACGCCUCUCGCAAUGCCCGGCGAAGUGGCCUGGCGGAAACGGACGCGUCCAAGGCGUCUGGCAAGUCGACACCGAGCACGGUGAAGCCUAGCAGCGCGGCGGACCAAAAUGGCGAGGCGCACGACGCGCCGAUGCAGUCCUCGACCGAAGCAAGCGACACGACCAACAAGAGCAAGGGCGUGUCCGGCGGUGCGCCUGACAAGGGGCCCAAGACCAGCACGCAGCAGGCGACCGAACCGAAGCCGACGCCGACGGGUGCGAGUGAUCGCUGCAUGGCAGCUCUUGAGACGGCCAAGGGGCGUGCAGGCAAGGCAUCGGAGACCAUGAAUACGCAGGAAACAAAACCCCUUACGACUGAGUCGAUCGAUGACAUUCCGCUCCUGGCCGACGACGUCCGACCGAAGCCGAAGCCGGCCGCCCCGAAUGCACCGACGCCGCAGACGGCGCCGGUGGAGCUGCCCGCUAAGGAAGAGCCACAGCAGACAUCGGCGACCACGAAGACGCCCGCGUCGAAGCUGUCUGAACCGCCGAACGAGGCGACAGAGACUGCCCACGCCGUGGACAGCAGCUCAACUACCAACGCAACGAGGGGCUCCAUCGCCAACGGCGAGGGCCGCCCCGCUCGCCCACGCAGCCGCCAGGCAGCACGCUCCGUCAGUCGCCUCACCUCGAUGAGCGUUGUGGAGUUCCCAGUGGCGGAGGAGGUGAAUGAUGAGAUGGUUGACGGCGGCCUCCACGACUCGGAGAAGGAGGCGGCUCUCCGCGUCGAGCAGCGCCGCGAGCGCGAGGAAGCCGCCCGCGCGGCGCGCGAUGAGCGCCAGCGUCAGCAGCAACUGAUGGAGGAGGCGCAGAGGCAGCGCGAAGAGGAGGCGCAGAGGCGGCGACAGAAGAAAGAGGACGAGGCGCGCCAGCGGAAGGAGAUGCUGACGAAGAUGGACGGGGAGCGCAAGCGCGAACGGGACGCCGCCCUUGCCGCGCGCGAGCGCCAGCGGGAGGAGGAGAAGCGGCGCUUUGAGGAUAUGAAGCGCCUCGAGGAGGCGAAAGAGGCCGCGCGUGCCGCCGCUCUGAUAGCGGAGCGGCAACGCAAGCUCGAAGCGGAGAAGACGGAAGCAGAGGAGAAGACGGCCCGCAGUGCCUCGCGUCAACGCAGCCGACGCCCUACUAGUCGACCAGCCUCCCGCCUGCGCGGUGCGAUCCCGGAGCAGCCUCCGGAUGUGACGGCUGGGCAGAUAAAGGACACACUAGCGGACGAGGCCUUGGGGAAGUCAGCACACCCCGACAAUGAGAACCACCACUCCCACGCCGCACAGGCACCGCGCGUGGCGCAAGCGGAUCGCAAGACGGAGCCUGUGGCGGAAGUGCGGCACACAUCUAAGUCGCCGGCGGGUGUGAGGUGUGCGUCCUCGACCCCGGCCGAGGUGCGGGCAGAACGUGCCGCUCGAUCGCAGCGUUCACAGUCGCCGCUGCCACAGCAGAAGCAGCCAGCCUCGGCAGAAGGAGUGAUGAGUGGGCCGCCGAGCCACAGCGCCGCGCCUGUGCUGCCGAACUCGAACCCGACGCCGCAGUCGCAGGUGCCCAAUAACUCUCACCGCUCUCAGUCGAAGGAGGACAAAUCUGCGUCUUCAGCGGGCAAGAGCAGCACCUCGCGCCCGGCAAACAUGGUCAAGACACUGGUGCUUGUGGAGGAGCUGCGCGACAGCAAUCACGCCUUGGCGAUGAAGGACAACUCCAUCAGCUACAAAGGGCAGACGAUCGAGGUGACCGAAGUGAAGACACGUCCGGAGGACAACUUCAACUACCAUUCCAGCGUCGUCCACGACGUCUCCGAGGCGGUGUGCAGCGGCUACAAUGCCGCGGUGCUGGCUGUGGACGCUCCGAACACCGCCGGCCGCUUCGAUUCUCCCGUCUGGUCUAUCCUCAACCGCAUUGUUCGCACGCUGCUACACGAGAACAGCAACAAGGCCGGCCAGCUGCGCGCCGACUUUCAGCUGACGUGCGCCAUGGGGUACCUCUACAAGGACAAGGUGAAGGACUUGCUGACGAGCGCUGAGCCGGAGGCGUCGUUCACGAAGAUCGGCGUGAACCCGUCGCCGAUCUAUGGUCCGCGCUUGACAAACCUCACCUACGACGCCGUCACGGACCCCAGCGCGUUCGAGGACGUGCUCACCACCACGCUCUCGCGCGCCUCUGAGGAUGCGACAAUACAGAGUCUGACGGAGGGUGUCUUGGCUGCGUUUGUGCUCAUCAUGCAGACCCGCGAGACGGACGGCAAGCCGGACAUCUAUCUGUCGUCCCUCGUGGUGGCCACGUCCGGUGACGACACUUUUCCAUACCAGUCAGCGAUCUCGCACACCCGCAACGAGUACGCGACGGUGUUCCACCUGGUCCUCGGUGGUCCAAGCUGCACCUGCUUCAUGCUGAACAUCGCCGACGACGACAAAGUCCGAAAGGCGGGUGAGACAGAGGAGUCGGUGCAGGAGAGGAUUAAGCGUGUGCUAGGGUUGCUGCAGAAAAUGUCCGCGCUGCCGAACUACGACUUGCGCAGCGGUUCUGUGAAGCGCUUCAUCAAGUACGUUGAGCUGUCCCACAAAAACGCGCAGGCGCGGCUGGAGAAGGAAGAGGAUGAUGUGCAGCGCCGCAAGGUAGAGCGCUACCUCCGCGAACAGGAGCGACUCCUGCAGGACGCCUACCGCCUGCUGCAGGAGUGGAACAUCAACUGCGGCGGUGAGCUCUAAUCGAGAUCGCACCGCCGGCAGACGUGAGAGUGCGCCACGCUUCUCUAUCGCUGCCGUUUUUUUCGACAGCCAUCUCUCACCCUGUGUGCGCGUGUGCCGUCUUGAUGAUUCCUCCGUUGCUUCUGGACUCUCGUUCUCUAUAUACAUGUGUAUAUGCAUGUAUGUAUGUGCACGGCGAAAUGCAUUAGCGAGUGCUAAGCUGCCUGUCUGCCGCGUGUGUGUGUGUGUACCGCCGCUUCCACAGUCCUCAGUCCCCUCCCCUCACAUUUUCCCAUCGCACCUGCGUCGAGCUCUUCCUGGCGGCACUUUAGGGGGUUUUCCCCAUUUUGGUUAUUAUGCUUUUGCUUGUGUUUUUCUCCGUGUUUGCCAUGCUGUCGUGCGCCUGCGUGUGCCUGUAUGCACGGUUCACAUUAUCCUUGCCGUGCUCUGUGGGGUGUCGUUCUCUCCCAGAGUGCCACAGGCUUUCUCCCACCUCGCUGCGCAAGCCGCACUUGUUUACUGGCGACACGAGACCUCUUCCCUCUCUCGGCCUCCCCGCCUGCAUCAUCGUUUCUGCUUCUUCUUGCUUCAUUGUCUCCUUUACUGUGUGUGUGUGUGUUGAUUUCGCUGAUGCAUCUCUCAUUCUCUUUGCGUAUGCUGUCUGCCUGCACGCAUGCAUAUGUUUAAGGAGGGGGAGCGGCUCCUCUCUCACUCAUGUGCCUAUUCUCUCUUUUCUUUUUUUUUUUCUGUCGUGCUUGUUUGCAGUGUCGUUCCGCACAGCUGUCACCUCUAGCCCCCACACUCUGUCUUGCGCGCAAUCGACACCGCUGGCGGGCUUCAUUCAGUGCUUCUCGUAGUGUGUGCAUAGACGCCUACGUGUGCGUGUGCGUGGAUGGACGUGUAGGUUUUGAGGAGGCGGAUUGUGAGUGUAUCCAGACUUGGACGAGCGUGAAGGACUUUCUUGUGCGUGUGUGUGCGGCAGCUGUUUCUCCUGUUAGCCUUUACCUGUGGUUUCUUCUGUCUUUUUUUUUUAUUAUUAGUCGGACGCAUUGCCACGUGCGUGUCUUCAUACGCGCACCAUCUCAUGCCUCGUGGUGAGCGCGCGCCUCUCCCUCGGGCACUUUCUCACUUGCACGCGGGCACACAUAUGUAGACGCGCACGCACAUCAUUCCUCGUUUCGUAUCCGUUCUUUUGUUUGUUUCGUUGUACGUAAUUUUGUUUGUGCCCUCCGCAUCUCCCACUCGCCGUUUUGUUUUUGGCCACUUUUUUUUUCGCUCUGGCUUUUUUUCAGUCCCGGUGCCCGCUUUUUGCCUCCUUUGCUGAGCUCACGCAUAUGUCUGUGUGCGUGUGUUUAUGUGUCUGCGUGGCGAGGGGGCUGUCAACGGGGCUAACCCUCGUGUGUGCGUUUUCUUUCGGCUCUCUUGCUUCCCGUUCGGGCUCUUUGAGCACGUCGUUACGAACGACGUUCUCAGCCGUCGAUGCGCGCUGCAUUCGUUGCGAUGUUUGGUCAGAUGACGGGACGGUGGGAAAGGGAGCAGCGGGACACACGAUGCCGUUUCUGGAAUUGUGCUGCGAGCCCCUCGUUUUUGUUUGCUGUCGUACACGUGUCGUCUCUACUCGCUUUGCGCUUCCACUUUCCGCCCUCCUGAAACGGCCUCCCCCCCCCCCCGCGACUCUUCCAUUCCGCGUUGCUCAUGCCCGCCUCCCCCGCUCACCCCAUGUAUGAUCAUCUUUGCGUUCUCCUUCCUUUUGCUUUUUUUUGUAUAGCUGUCUUUGCCGACUCGCUGCGCCUCACCUCUUGGCGACGGCGUUGGUGCCUCUUUGCAUCUUUUUUUUUUUCAUCUCUUUUUACGGUUCACCGUCACCUUCUCUCCGAUCUACCCCUACAUCUUCUGUCAAUCUUGUUCUAGAGUCGUCCAAGACCGACGCACCGCUCAACCCACAUGCACGCGUUACCACGGGCACGCCAGCGCACAGGCGAACAUGCGCACACACGUAAUCAGCCCCCCCGACCCCCCCCCCCUCGCACAUACACACUGAGAGACACAUCGGCAGCAUAAAUCACUCCGUGAACAUUUUUUUGUGGGGGCGCUCGAGUCGUCAGCAUUUGUUCAUGUUUUUUUUUUUUCGUGUGGUUAUCAUUGGCUGUUCCGCCGUCUCCUCUCUCUCAUUCUUGUUCAAUGCGUGUGCGCCGGUGAUGUGCCUAAUGCUCGCGUAACGCGUUUUCAGCUCUCCCUGUUUGCAUGUCCGACGACAUGGGAGCUGAUGUGGUGUGUACGUGAUGUUUGCUUUGCACGUUCUUUUCCUUUGAAUGAUUUUUUCUUUUGUUUUUUUUUUCGCCGUUCUCUUCUGUCUUGUUUCGUCGCUGUCUGUGUGCAUGCCCGUGUGUUUCUUUUCUGUGAGUGUAUGUGCGCGGCGGUUAUCCUGGUCUCGUGUGACAGCGUGCGCACAUUUCCUGUGGUGAGUCUCUCUUAUUUGUGGUUGCGGCUUCUCUCCUCGCCCUUUCUUCUUUUAUUUUUUUUUCUUGGCCAGCCGAAGUGGUGGCGCUGUCGUUAGUUUUUACUUUCGCGCUUCACUGUUCAUCGUCUCUCUCUGUGUGCCGGGGUGUGUGUCUCUGCGUGUGUGUGGCUGUCUUCGCUUCUUGUUGACCGGGAUGAAUAUCUCAUGUGCGUACUAAUCAAUGGCCUCCUCGACUCAGAGACGAAAGGCAAGGGCCGCUUUCCUUUCCUCUUUGCAGCGUGUGUCCAUUCUCUGCCAUACACUAUGGCGUCCACUGCACUCUAUCCUCCUCCCCCGGCUUGCCCCACAGGCCGCACCAGCGUGGUGAAAAGCAUGCCGUUGACACACGCGUUAGGGCAAUAUCAGAUCGGUGAGCUGAGCAGAGCCUCUGCCUCGAACUCUAUCUGCCCAUGCCUGCUUUCCAGAUCGCCUCGCAGCCGCUCCAGCCAUGCUGGGUUGCCACGUGGUGCGUCUCCCUCGUGGUGGCGCUCAGGCCCCCCAGCCACCAGCCGGGCCGUGUGAGACACGGUCGAGUGACACUGACACUCUGCGUAAUCGCAUGGAUGGCACAAGCGUGUUCACUGUCGCGAGGUCGCUCCGAUGCCACGCCAUCCAGAACCCGAGCGCCGACAUCAGUAGCGAUACAUCGCUCUGACCUCCCCCCUACGUGGUAGGUGAUUGGCCGCGUCACCGCCAGAAGUGGCAGGGCAUUGACAGGGAUAGAAGGGCUGCUCGGCUUCCGCCCACCGUGCUGUGUGGUGGCCCCCUGAGAUGCCACGCGCUGAGGUGUCCCUCGUCAUGAGGGGAAACGGCAAAGCUGCGGAAAAGAAAAGGGGCAGUACGCAGACAAGCACAGGAUCAUGCGAAGGCACGAGUGCUUUUCACAUCCAUAUGUGGCAUUUUGUUCUGCUUUUUUUUUCCAUUCCUCCCCAUUUCAUCUUGCGUCUGCGACUCUUUGUGUAUCCGCUUGCGUCUCUGUGUGCGUAUGUAUGUGCUGCUGUGUGCGCUCCUUUUCUUUCUUGUUCGUGAGUUAUUGCUCUCUUUCUUUUCCUCUGUAGUUCUCCGGUGCUCUAGCCCUCUCUCUCCCUUCCUGCCCGCCCCCUCGCGUCUCCGAUGAACAUGAACUCAUGUUAUUUGUGGGUGUGGUGGUGUUAUCUCUGCAUUCAUGCCAAACUAACAUAAAUGACACACGCGCGCACACGUACGCGCACAGAAGAGGUCGGUGUGCUCCGCGUAUCGUGUGGCACCGGGCUUUUUUUUGUAGUUUCUGCGCCUCCAGUGGCGUAUGCGCGCUGCUUGAUGGUCGAGAACACCCUGGGCGAGAGUCCGGUGCCGCUUGUCGGCGGCAGCAGCUGUCGUGUGCACAAGCGUGAGCUGCGAGGAUCGAUGAGGCCUUCGUUGGCGCGGUGUUCAAAACCAUUCGCCAGCACGGGAGGGUGGGUGAGCAGGGACUGGCGUGAUGAAGGAGGAGAAAACUAGCUUUUCGCUGACUUUUCUUCAUCCAGCUAUGUCAGGGAUCACGCGUCGACAUACGGGCCCGCAUCCUCGGCGCCUCCUUGCGCUAUGAGUCGGCUACGCUGGCGCUCAAUACUCUACGUCUCUCCUAAUUUCUCUCUCGGUCGGGCGCCCGUCUUGCCCGCUUCUUUUAUUCGUACAUCUUUGGGCCUGUGCACUCACUAG